UCAAUACGUGCUAUUUCCAGAAGGUCUGCUGUUUCUCCAGAGAAAAUGACCUCCAGCCGGCCACUGGUGUUAAUGUCUCUGGGCAAAUCAUCAGAAAAAGACUUCAUGAGGUUGACCUCAGUCUAGACAUCCUCCAGAGGUGGUCACUGCCCAGCAUCAUGCUGCUCGAUUUGCAUUGGACACCAGAAAUGGUAGGUCCACCACUGGCGCCCUGUGCUUUUCACAGAUGACGCACAAACCUCUACAGACUAGACGUCGGCACCCUGACUGCCAUUAGGCAUCAGGAUAAAAUCCUUGGACUCAUUGUCAGCCAUACAAGCUACUGAGUACCGAUUUGAGCUGCUGCAAUGAAAUUUCACUAAAUGGGCCUAUUAUGCCCGUUGCAUCAUUUGUUUUUGAAUUCAGCCCUCUAUAGGUUUAUAAUUAUUUAAUUUCCAUCAAACGACGUGGCAUCCUUCCACUCCUGAUACAUUACUCAGUCCAUAUCAGUACAGACAUCCAGCACGACUUUUUUCUCAUUGACACCUAAUGUGUUUACAAAGAGCUAUUAUUUUCUUGAGCAAUGUGUAUUACAAGUGCCAUAACAUCAGUGAUGAAGCGGAGCAGCAGCUCAUUCAGAGUUGAUGAUACCUGCGGGAAAUUUAGAUCAAUGAAGCUGAAAAGGUGUCACAUCAGAAACUAUAAAAAUUGAACUGCUGCAUCUGGAUUUACACCAUAAUGGAUCUUCCUGAAGAGGCAACGCAGUGAAGUGAUUAUUUACUUUGACAAAAUUAUUUUAUACACCUCUUCAGGUAAUGAAUAUAUAGUCUAGACCGCAUGUCAGUCAUUUUUCAUGCUGUGAAGCAAGAAUUACAGUUGAAAUUACCUGUUAAAUUUCUGUUACCACCUGACGGUUCUCAUUAAUUUAGUCAGUUCACAUUGAUGUCUGCUGUCUCCUUCAAUCAUUGCUCCUCAUUUACAAGAGCAUAUUAUAGUCAGCGGAGCAGACAUGCAGCCUCUGGUUCAGGGUAGUGUCGUGCUGUGGUGACACUGUGUGUUUAUACGUCCUAAACCACAAGACUGAAAUAACUAAAGAUCCUCCCAGAGAAAUCUGACCAGACUACUAGAAAUUCAAGAUGGUACAGAGGUAAAAAUAACCACCACAACUCAAAUGUCUACUGUUUUUGUGUUCCUCCGUGUGGUUUAAGUUGCGCGUGUGUCAAAGUGUGUGCGUACUUCCUCCUCCACAGACUGGAACUCCUUGUCGUCCGGUGCCAGGUCGAUCAGCACGGUGCCCUGGCUGGAGCAGUGGAACGUCAGCUCCUCGUGACCCAUGUCUGCCAGCACAUCCAGUGAAAUCUGCAGGGUUACCACAAACAAGUCACGUCAGUACUCCUCCCAAAAAUUUAACUGAUGGACUCUGCACAAACUAAAAGAGGACAUCACAAUUGAACAGCAGGUUGUGCAACAGCUGAUUAUUAAAACUAGUAAUGAUAAUGAGCCCAAUGAUCUAAGACAUAUUGCAGAGACAAUAGGUCUGACAAAUAUUCAUGAAUAACAGCGGCAGCAUGCAGAGAAGGUCAAUGAAUGGAUGGCAGUAAUCAAGCCAUUGAUAUGCAAAUGUCGGUGAAAUCAUCUCCGCUCUCCUGAGUUUGUUCAGGGAGAGCAGAGAUGACAUUCAUCCUGGAGGCAGAGAUAACUUUCCUCUGCGCUGCAGUGAUCACUGACAUAGGUGUAAAUCAUCACAGCUUAUAAAUACUCAGACAUUCACAAGGCACUUAUAAGCAAAACAGAAACCUGUCUGGCACCCAGCGUUUAUCUAAAUAUAAAAACCUGAUUUGGUUUGUGAGUCACAGCAAAGUGACGUGAACUUCAGCUGUUUGCUUCUACCGAGAAAAACCAUUUGAUGCAAUCAUGUAAAAUGACCGCGAGGCCCAUGAACCUGCUUCUCACCAGUCUGAUGCGUCAGUCGGCUAUUUACCACAGAACAUCCAUCUACGUGGCUUCUGAAUCCUCCAGUACUUUACAAUCUUAUUCAGUUCAGAGCGCAGAACAGUUAUUUAGAUCAAAGCUGGACAUCAUGUAUCGUUAAUGCUUUUCUCAUGUCACUGUUCUCUAUUUGAAAAUCAAACUGUCAGCUACAUCAUCCCUUCAUCUAGUUACUUGAUGUUCAGACUGUUAUCAGCUUUGUGAGUUUGAUGCUAGGAACCAAAGCAGGUCCCUACUGUGAGUGUUUGUUUUACUGUUUUAGUUUUUUAUGUAAUGCUGGUAAAACACACACAAAAAAUGUAAUAAAAGCAGCAUGUAAUGAGUGGGUUUUAUAAUCAUCCAGUAUUUUUGAAUGUUCAUCAGUGGAUUCGAUGUUUGUUUCUUCAAAGCUCGGAGUUCUGCAUGUUAUUCUGAAGUAUGAGUGUACUUUUUUAUUGACAACCACCCCCUCAAUAUCAUCCUGAAUCAUUCUCAUUCUGAAUAUUAAUAAAGACCUGUUUCCCUUCAGGGGCACCAAAAAUAAAUUUAAGUCACGCACACAGAAACAGCCGUACCCUCCGUAUUGUUCCGGCACUGCUUUCUAUACGUCGCCUUUAGCCAGCUGUCACCUUUCAAUGUCACUGCUUUCUCGUCUUUCUGUCACCCCGUCUGUCCUUUACCAUCCUGUCUCUGUCUCUUACCUCCAUCCGUGUCUUCAAGCAUCUCUUCUCAUUAAUUUGUCCUUAUUUUCUUUCUUUUUUUCUUUUGCAUCACCUUGUUUUGUUUUAGUUUUACUUCCUCAUUCUGUGCCUCUCACUUUUAAUACUUUUCAGUUCUAAAAUUUAGAUUUAGAAAGCAAGAUUAAGAGUGUACAGUCAUGCUAGUUAGCGUCAUGCUCAAGUUCAAUGCUAAAGCCACUGAGCUAAUAUGUUC
Long non-coding RNA from Mugil cephalus (flathead mullet), 2880 nucleotides. RefSeq lists it as uncharacterized. The record is from RefSeq and is a predicted model, not a curated record. The transcript has 3 exons. NCBI's taxonomy places the organism in Eukaryota, Metazoa, Chordata, Actinopteri, Mugiliformes, Mugilidae.